GGAUGAACGCUGGCGGCGUGCCUAAUACAUGCAAGUCGAGCGAACAGAUGAGGAGCUUGCUCCUCUGACGUUAGCGGCGGACGGGUGAGUAACACGUGGAUAACCUACCUAUAAGACUGGGAUAACUUCGGGAAACCGGAGCUAAUACCGGAUAAUAUAUUGAACCGCAUGGUUCAAUAGUGAAAGACGGUUUUGCUGUCACUUAUAGAUGGAUCCGCGCCGCAUUAGCUAGUUGGUAAGGUAACGGCUUACCAAGGCAACGAUGCGUAGCCGACCUGAGAGGGUGAUCGGCCACACUGGAACUGAGACACGGUCCAGACUCCUACGGGAGGCAGCAGUAGGGAAUCUUCCGCAAUGGGCGAAAGCCUGACGGAGCAACGCCGCGUGAGUGAAGAAGGUCUUCGGAUCGUAAAACUCUGUUAUUAGGGAAGAACAAAUGUGUAAGUAACUAUGCACGUCUUGACGGUACCUAAUCAGAAAGCCACGGCUAACUACGUGCCAGCAGCCGCGGUAAUACGUAGGUGGCAAGCGUUAUCCGGAAUUAUUGGGCGCAAAGCGCGCGUAGGCGGUUUUUUAAGUCUGAUGUGAAAGCCCACGGCUCAACCGUGGAGGAUCAUUGGAAACUGGAAAACUUGAGUGCAGAAGAGGAAAGUGGAAUUCCAUGUG
Molecule: ribosomal RNA, 666 nt
Filed under: uncultured Staphylococcus sp.
Lineage: Bacteria; Bacillati; Bacillota; Bacilli; Caryophanales; Staphylococcaceae
Description: bacterial SSU rRNA
Rfam family: Bacterial small subunit ribosomal RNA
Source: RNAcentral